Molecule: non-coding RNA, 4636 nt
Organism: Xyrichtys novacula (pearly razorfish)
Lineage: Eukaryota; Metazoa; Chordata; Actinopteri; Labriformes; Labridae
Source: the annotation of a GenBank genome assembly
GGGUUAGGGUUAGGGUUAGGGUUGGAGCUAGGGUUAGGGUUAGGGUUAGGGUUGGAGUUAGGGUUAGUGUUGGAGCUAGGGUUAGGGUUGGGCUUGGAGCUAGGAUUUUUCUGAGUGCACUGAACCAACUCCCGAGUCUCUAGGACAUUCCUAAAAAAAUUUGAUUUUUCCCAUAGGAAUGCAUGGGUUAGGGUUAGGGUUAGGGUUGGAGCUAGGGUUAGGGUUAGGGUUAGGGUUGGAGUUAGGGUUAGUGUUGGAGCUAGGGUUAGGGUUGGGCUUGGAGCUAGGAUUUUUCUGAGUGCACUGAACCAACUCCCGAGUCUCUAGGACAUUCCUAAAAAAAUUUGAUUUUUUUCCCAUAGGAAUGCAUGGGUUAGGGUUAGGGUUAGGGUUAGGGUUGGAGCUAGGGUUAGGGUUAGGGUUAGGGUUGGAGUUAGGGUUAGUGUUGGAGCUAGGGUUAGGGUUGGGCUUGGAGCUAGGAUUUUUCUGAGUGCACUGAACCAACUCCCGAGUCUCUAGGACGUUCCUAAAAAAAUUUGAUUUUUUCCCAUAGGAAUGCAUGGGUUAGGGUUAGGGUUAGGGUUGGAGCUAGGGUUAGGGUUAGGGUUAGGGUUGGAGUUAGGGUUAGUGUUGGAGCUAGGGUUAGGGUUGGGCUUGGAGCUAGGAUUUUUCUGAGUGCACUGAACCAACUCCCGAGUCUCUAGGACGUUCCUAAAAAAAUUUGAUUUUUUCCCAUAGGAAUGCAUGGGUUAGGGUUAGGGUUAGGGUUGGAGCUAGGGUUAGGGUUAGGGUUAGGGUUGGAGUUAGGGUUAGUGUUGGAGCUAGGGUUAGGGUUGGGCUUGGAGCUAGGAUUUUUCUGAGUGCACUGAACCAACUCCCGAGUCUCUAGGACAUUCCUAAAAAAAUUUGAUUUUUUCCCAUAGGAAUGCAUGGGUUAGGGUUAGGGUUAGGGUUGGAGCUAGGGUUAGGGUUAGGGUUAGGGUUGGAGUUAGGGUUAGUGUUGGAGCUAGGGUUAGGGUUGGGCUUGGAGCUAGGAUUUUUCUGAGUGCACUGAACCAACUCCCGAGUCUCUAGGACAUUCCUAAAAAAAUUUGAUUUUUUCCCAUAGGAAUGCAUGGGUUAGGGUUAUGGUUAGGGUUAGGGUUGGAGCUAGGGUUAGGGUUAGGGUUAGGGUUGGAGUUAGGGUUAGUGUUGGAGCUAGGGUUAGGGUUGGGCUUGGAGCUAGGAUUUUUCUGAGUGCACUGAACCAACUCCCGAGUCUCUAGGACAUUCCUAAAAAAAUUUGAUUUUUUCCCAUAGGAAUGCAUGGGUUAGGGUUAGGGUUAGGGUUGGAGCUAGGGUUAGGGUUAGGGUUAGGGUUGGAGUUAGGGUUAGUGUUGGAGCUAGGGUUAGGGUUGGGCUUGGAGCUAGGAUUUUUCUGAGUGCACUGAACCAACUCCCGAGUCUCUAGGACAUUCCUAAAAAAAUUUGAUUUUUUCCCAUAGGAAUGCAUGGGUUAGGGUUAUGGUUAGGGUUGGAGCUAGGGUUAGGGUUAGGGUUAGGGUUGGAGUUAGGGUUAGUGUUGGAGCUAGGGUUAGGGUUGGGCUUGGAGCUAGGAUUUUUCUGAGUGCACUGAACCAACUCCCGAGUCUCUAGGACAUUCCUAAAAAAAUUUGAUUUUUUCCCAUAGGAAUGCAUGGGUUAGGGUUAGGGUUAGGGUUGGAGCUAGGGUUAGGGUUAGGGUUAGGGUUGGAGUUAGGGUUAGUGUUGGAGCUAGGGUUAGGGUUGGGCUUGGAGCUAGGAUUUUUCUGAGUGCACUGAACCAACUCCCGAGUCUCUAGGACAUUCCUAAAAAAAUUUGAUUUUUUCCCAUAGGAAUGCAUGGGUUAGGGUUAUGGUUAGGGUUAGGGUUGGAGCUAGGGUUAGGGUUAGGGUUAGGGUUGGAGUUAGGGUUAGUGUUGGAGCUAGGGUUAGGGUUGGGCUUGGAGCUAGGACUUUUCUGAGUGCAAUGAACCAACUCCCGAGUCUCUAGGACAUUCCUAAAAAAAUUGAUUUUUUCCCAUAGGAAUGCAUGGGUUAGGGUUAUGGUUAGGGUUAGGGUUGGAGCUAGUGUUAGGGUUAGGGUUAGGGUUAGGGUUAGGGUUGGAGUUAGGGUUAGUGUUGGAGCUAGGGUUAGGGUUGGGCUUGGAGCUAGGAUUUUUCUGAGUGCACUGAACCAACUCCCGAGUCUCUAGGACAUUCCUAAAAAAAUUUGAUUUUUUCCCAUAGGAAUGCAUGGGUUAGGGUUAUGGUUAGGGUUAGGGUUGGAGCUAGGGUUAGGGUUAGGGUUAGGGUUGGAGUUAGGGUUAGUGUUGGAGCUAGGGUUAGGGUUGGGCUUGGAGCUAGGAUUUUUCUGAGUGCACUGAACCAACUCCCGAGUCUCUAGGACAUUCCUAAAAAAAUUUGAUUUUUUCCCAUAGGAAUGCAUGGGUUAGGGUUAGGGUUAGGGUUGGAGCUAGGGUUAGGGUUAGGGUUAGGGUUGGAGUUAGGGUUAGUGUUGGAGCUAGGGUUAGGGUUGGGCUUGGAGCUAGGAUUUUUCUGAGUGCACUGAACCAACUCCCGAGUCUCUAGGACAUUCCUAAAAAAAUUUGAUUUUUUCCCAUAGGAAUGCAUGGGUUAGGGUUAGGGUUAGGGUUGGAGCUAGGGUUAGGGUUAGGGUUAGGGUUGGAGUUAGGGUUAGUGUUGGAGCUAGGGUUAGGGUUGGGCUUGGAGCUAGGAUUUUUCUGAGUGCACUGAACCAACUCCCGAGUCUCUAGGACAUUCCUAAAAAAAUUUGAUUUUUUUCCCAUAGGAAUGCAUGGGUUAGGGUUAUGGUUAGGGUUAGGGUUGGAGCUAGGGUUAGGGUUAGGGUUAGGGUUGGAGUUAGGGUUAGUGUUGGAGCUAGGGUUAGGGUUGGGCUUGGAGCUAGGAUUUUUCUGAGUGCAAUGAACCAACUCCCGAGUCUCUAGGACGUUCCUAAAAAAAUUUGAUUUUUUCCCAUAGGAAUGCAUGGGUUAGGGUUAGGGUUAGGGUUGGAGCUAGGGUUAGGGUUAGGGUUAGGGUUGGAGUUAGGGUUAGUGUUGGAGCUAGGGUUAGGGUUGGGCUUGGAGCUAGGAUUUUUCUGAGUGCACUGAACCAACUCCCGAGUCUCUAGGACGUUCCUAAAAAAAUUUGAUUUUUUCCCAUAGGAAUGCAUGGGUUAGGGUUAGGGUUAGGGUUGGAGCUAGGGUUAGGGUUAGGGUUAGGGUUGGAGUUAGGGUUAGUGUUGGAGCUAGGGUUAGGGUUGGGCUUGGAGCUAGGAUUUUUCUGAGUGCACUGAACCAACUCCCGAGUCUCUAGGACAUUCCUAAAAAAAUUUGAUUUUUUCCCAUAGGAAUGCAUGGGUUAGGGUUAGGGUUAGGGUUGGAGCUAGGGUUAGGGUUAGGGUUAGGGUUGGAGUUAGGGUUAGUGUUGGAGCUAGGGUUAGGGUUGGGCUUGGAGCUAGGAUUUUUCUGAGUGCACUGAACCAACUCCCGAGUCUCUAGGACAUUCCUAAAAAAAUUUGAUUUUUUCCCAUAGGAAUGCAUGGGUUAGGGUUAUGGUUAGGGUUAGGGUUGGAGCUAGGGUUAGGGUUAGGGUUAGGGUUGGAGUUAGGGUUAGUGUUGGAGCUAGGGUUAGGGUUGGGCUUGGAGCUAGGAUUUUUCUGAGUGCACUGAACCAACUCCCGAGUCUCUAGGACAUUCCUAAAAAAAAUUUGAUUUUUUCCCAUAGGAAUGCAUGGGUUAGGGUUAUGGUUAGGGUUAGGGUUGGAGCUAGGGUUAGGGUUAGGGUUAGGGUUGGAGUUAGGGUUAGUGUUGGAGCUAGGGUUAGGGUUGGGCUUGGAGCUAGGAUUUUUCUGAGUGCAAUGAACCAACUCCCGAGUCUCUUGGACGUUCCUAAAAAAAUUUGAUUUUUUCCCAUAGGAAUGCAUGGGUUAGGGUUAGGGUUAGGGUUGGAGCUAGGGUUAGGGUUAGGGUUAGGGUUGGAGUUAGGGUUAGUGUUGGAGCUAGGGUUAGGGUUGGGCUUGGAGCUAGGAUUUUUCUGAGUGCAAUGAACCAACUCCCGAGUCUCUAGGACGUUCCUAAAAAAAUUUGAUUUUUUUCCCAUAGGAAUGCAUGGGUUAGGGUUAUGGUUAGGGUUGGAGCUAGGGUUAGGGUUAGGGUUAGGGUUGGAGUUAGGGUUAGUGUUGGAGCUAGGGUUAGGGUUGGGCUUGGAGCUAGGAUUUUUCUGAGUGCACUGAACCAACUCCCGAGUCUCUAGGACGUUCCUAAAAAAAUUUGAUUUUUUCCCAUAGGAAUGCAUGGGUUAGGGUUAGGGUUAGGGUUGGAGCUAGGGUUAGGGUUAGGGUUAGGGUUGGAGUUAGGGUUAGUGUUGGAGCUAGGGUUAGGGUUGGGCUUGGAGCUAGGAUUUUUCUGAGUGCACUGAACCAACUCCCGAGUCUCUAGGACAUUCCUAAAAAAUUUGAUUUUUUUCCCAUAGGAAUGCAUGGGUUAGGGUUAUGGUUAGGGUUAGGGUUGGAGCUAGGGUUAGGGUUAGGGUUAGGGUUGGAGUUAGGGUUAGUGUUGGAGCUAGGGUUAGGGUUGGGCUUGGAGCUAGGACUUUUCUGAGUGCAAUGAACCAA